Long non-coding RNA from Pantherophis guttatus, 273 nucleotides. RefSeq lists it as uncharacterized. Lineage: Eukaryota; Metazoa; Chordata; Lepidosauria; Squamata; Colubridae. The record is from RefSeq and is a predicted model, not a curated record.
CCCACCCAUGCGGACAUCAUGACGUCACUUUAUAAGCAAUUUUAAGCCUUGGUGCGGGCACAUUUGCGAACCAGUAGGGAAGACAGAAAACUGUGAGAUAAAGCUGCAUAAAUCAUCGCCUGGGAAUGAGACAAGCCCAGCAUCAUGGAGACAAUCGGGAAAAAUAGGCUUGCAAGCCCAUUAAAUGACUUUGUAAAUAACUAAUGAGGAAAAGCUGUUAGAAAAGAACGUCAAGGACAUCUUGCCCUGCACCUGGAGGGAUGUGACUGGGAG